Molecule: non-coding RNA, 207 nt
Filed under: Dechloromonas aromatica (nom. nud.)
Lineage: Bacteria; Pseudomonadati; Pseudomonadota; Betaproteobacteria; Rhodocyclales; Azonexaceae
Source: RNAcentral
AAAAUGGCGGCCGUCUCAGGUGCUGCGUACGGAUUAUCCAAGCGCAGUUAAACGGGAAAGCGGUGCGUCUCCAACGAGACCAUGCCGCUGCUGCCCCCGCAACGGUAAGCAAGUGCGGACGUAUCACAAGGCCACUGGGUGACCACCUGGGAAGGCGAUACGUCAAGACUUGUGAGCCCGGAUACCGGCCUGGAACACCCAUUGGAA